Molecule: ribosomal RNA, 429 nt
Filed under: Verrucomicrobiota bacterium
Lineage: Bacteria; Pseudomonadati; Verrucomicrobiota
Description: Verrucomicrobia bacterium partial 16S ribosomal RNA
Rfam family: Bacterial small subunit ribosomal RNA
Source: RNAcentral
UAGGGAAUCUUCCGCAAUGGACGAAAGUCUGACGGAGCAACGCCGCGUGAGUGAAGAAGGAUUUCGGUUCGUAAAACUCUGUUGUUAGGGAAGAAAAAAUGUAUAGUAACUAUAUACAAAAGAGACGGUACCUAACCAGAAAGCCACGGCUAACUACGUGCCAGCAGCCGCGGUAAUACGUAGGUGGCAAGCGUUGUCCGGAAUUAUUGGGCGUAAAGCGCGCGCAGGUGGUUUAGAAAGUCUGAUGUGAAAGCCCACGGCUCAACCGUGGAGGGUCAUUGGAAACUAAUAAACUUGAGUGCAGGAGAGAAAAGUGGAAUUCCUAGUGUAGCGGUGAAAUGCGUAGAGGUUAGGAGGAACACCGGUGGCGAAAGCGGCUUUUUGGCCUGCAACUGACACUGAGGCGCGAAAGCGUGGGGAGCAAACAGG